UGUUCUUCACGUCAUGUGGGGAAUCAGUGCCGGUGAUCGGAGGACCACCAAAUCGGGGGCCGGCGGCGACACUCUCUUUUCCUCUUCUUCACCUGAGAAUAUUUCAGAGGAUGCCAUCGAUUUGUGUGGAUGCUCGCGUGACAGUGCACUGGGCCCUGCUUCAUGUUAUUUUCUUCUCUGCGCCACUGGAGAUGUGGGCCGGUGCCCGUCGCUUGAGCUUCCGCCCAGAUGGAUGGCAUUCUUCGGAAAUACUCUCAGAUGAAUACCAAUCUCUAGGAAAAGAAAAAAAAAGGUCAACUUUUUUUGAUCGUUGAUCCCUGAACAAGAUCCUGAAAUCGGAGAGACUGCACACCAUCGGAGCGAGUGCGAGCGUCUUUUACACAUCCCUGAAUGGUCGGUCAUUGACGGCCCUCCUUUCUUCCUCGUAGGCACGCCGCUGAGUUCGAUGCAGCAGCCUCUUCAAGCUUCUUUGCAGCAACCUGGUCUCAGGCGGACCGUCGUUUCGGCCUCCGGAGGCUCGCAUGCUGACCACUACGCGUCACCGCCUUCAGCUGUCGCUCGGCCCCAAGGUCUGGCCUCAUCCUCCAUCCCAAAUUUCCCCUCCGUCCACGCUUCGCCGGCGCAUCUGACGCCAAGCCCGCCGGGGUGCGGUUCCUGUCCGGCGGUUCCGACUCCGCCACGCGGAAGCUUUCGUGCGGCGAGUGAGCGUGCCGCUCCAGGUCCCCAUCUCCGGCCCGUCUGGGCCACCGCUACCACGCCCUAUCGCGCCCCCGGUCCGGGAGCCUCACCGAGCCAGCCGCAACUGCAUCUCCGAGGGCGUCUGCCGAGUAUUUCUGGUUUCCUGGGUAUGACCCGAGGGCUGCCGCCCUUCGCGCACGCGCCGACUGGCGUCGAGCAGGCGCUGCCGUCCCUUGCCGAAGCUGUGACCGCGCCGCCCCCGAUCAUCAGUCUACUGGAUGAUGAUUUGUGAGCUGCCCGGAGAGCGGAGCUGUUUGGGUCGGAGACAGGAGAGGCCCCUGCAGGAAGCGUAGGAAUCGGGGCUCAGCUCUUCUUUCUUGUGCUUCUGGGUUCACAACUGGGAUGUUCUUGCUUGGUCGUUACCUUUUUUAUUAUGGGAGGUCGGAGAGGCGUCACAGUGACAACCACCCGUUUCCGUCUGCGCGUUUUUGGUCCCGUC
RNAcentral lists this long non-coding RNA (1177 nucleotides) under Spirodela polyrhiza (greater duckweed). RNAcentral's name for it is "long non-coding RNA (SPOL_LNC000590)". The record is from RNAcentral. Lineage: Eukaryota; Viridiplantae; Streptophyta; Magnoliopsida; Alismatales; Araceae.